This 267-nucleotide unclassified non-coding RNA is filed under the name Pyricularia parasitica. RNAcentral's name for it is "partial contains 5.8S ribosomal RNA, internal transcribed spacer 2, and large subunit ribosomal RNA". The record is from RNAcentral. Lineage: Eukaryota; Fungi; Ascomycota; Sordariomycetes; Magnaporthales; Pyriculariaceae.
CGCACAUUGCGCCCUUUGGUAUUCCGAAGGGCAUGCCUGUUCGAGCGUCAUUAUCACCCCUCAAACCCCGUGUUUGCUGUUGGACCCCGAGUCCCGCGAGAGCGUGGACUGGCCCCAAAGAUAAUGACGGCGUCCGUGUGGACCCCCGGUGCAACGAGCUUUUCUUUUUGAAGCACGCGUCGUGAGGGAACCGCGGUUCGGCCGGUCUGACACCUUUUUACUUCUAAGGUUGACCUCGGAUCAGGUAGGAAUACCCGCUGAACUUAA